This 449-nucleotide ribosomal RNA is filed under the name uncultured bacterium. RNAcentral's name for it is "partial 16S ribosomal RNA". It matches the Rfam family "Bacterial small subunit ribosomal RNA", at positions 29 to 523 of the family's 1533-position model. The record is from RNAcentral.
AACGAACGCUGGCGGCAGGCUUAACACAUGCAAGUCGAACGCCACCUCCGGGUGGAGUGGCAGACGGGUGAGUAACGCGUGGGAACGUACCUCUCGGUUUGGAGUAUUCUCUGGAAACUGCGAGCAAUACCAAAGAAGCCCUAUGGAGGCAAGAUUUAUUGCCGAAUGAUCGGCCGGCCUGAGAUUAGGUAGUUGGUAGGGUAAUGGCCUAUCAAGCGUACAAUCUAUAGAUGGUCUUAGAGGAUGAGCAGCGACAUUGGGACUGUGAAACGGACCAAACUCUUAGGGGGUGGAGCAGUGGGGAAUAUUGGACAACGGGCGGAAGCAUGAUCCAGUAAGGACGAGUGAAUGAUGAAGGCCUUAGGGUUGUAAAAUUCUUUCAACGGUUACGAUAAUGACGGUAACCGUAUAAGAAGCCCCGGCUAACUUCGUGCCAGCCGCCGCCGUAA